CAAAGUAGGAUAAUCCACUUAAGAAGAAAUAACAUGUAGCUAGCAAAAACUUUGGGCCUCUGCUCUCAUCUAUCUUGGAAUAUGGCCUUUAUUGCUACCACUUUCACUACUGCAUUGUUACCUCACACUAAAUAUACAUUAUGUUUCUAACUUAAAUCAUAACAUUCAUAAAGUUUUUUUUUUUAUUAUUAUUAAACACCAUAUCAAUUGAAAAGCAGAUAAAUAAAUACUACUAAAAAAUUAAAGUAGAUGAAAGAGAAAUGACUUUUUUUUUUAAUUAAAAAAAGGAAGAAUAAUAAGGUUUGGAAAAAGAAAAGACAAAAAGAAGGUGGCACGUGUACAAAUGUAGGACAGAACAAUGUAUUCAAGGGGGGCGGCGUAGAGGACGACUUCAAUUUUGGUACUUACUACUACUUAAGCAGUUUGGUACUACGUAGUAUAUUGUUCGGUAUAUUCUGUACUUGCUGUUAGUUCUUGAAGUCCCAGGAGUUGAUUAUGGUGAGUACUUUACUGCACUAAUUUGUUUGCAACAAACAGUUGAUUGGGUUUUUAGUGAUAAUUUAUUUGCUUAAUCACUUUGUUUUCUGAUGAAUUGUCAGGCAGGAAGUGGAGAGGAGUCAAAGAAGAUGAAGCUCUAUUCAUAUUGGAGGAGUUCAUGUGCAUUUCGUGUUCGAAUAGCACUCAAUUUGAAAGGUUCUUUUUUUAUUUUAUUUUAAAAUUAUUUUACGAUUGCUUUCUUUUUGAAACAAAAAUAAAAAAAUUAAAUAAAAGGAGUAUUGUUUAUUAACCCUCUUUUGUGUUUGUUGUUGUUAGGAUUGGAAUAUGAGUAUAAAGCUGUUGACUUGCUUAAAGGAGAACAGACGGACCCUGGUUUGUCUCUCCCCUUUUUCUUUGGUGUUUAGGUUUUUGAAAUGUUCAAACAUUUUUAUUUUAGCAAGUUACAAGGAAAUUAUAUAGGGACUUUUUGUUAAAUAGAUUUUUUAAGUCUAUUUUUUUAAUUAAAUGGAUCAUAAGUUUUUUUAUUACCCAUUUUUGAGACAGAUCUAUUAUCUGUUCAAUAGAUAUACAGACAGAUCGAUUAUCUCUGUCCGACAGAUGUAUAGAUAAAUCGAUUAUCAAUCCCACAGAUCCAUUAUCGAUCCGACUUAUAUAUAGACAGAUCGAUUAUCAGUCCAUUUUGCUGAUUGAAAACUUGAAGAGGGUAGGCCAUUUUGCUAAUUGGAAACUUGAAGAGUCUUAGUAGCCAAAUUUUCUCGAAAUUAUACUUGGGUGUGUUUGGUAUGCUGGAAAGUGUUUUCUCAGAAAUAAGUGUCUUUUUUUGCGUAUUUUCUUGUGUUAGAUAGUGCAAAGUAAAAAAUAUUGUAUCAACUAUGUUUGUAUAUAAUCUAAGCAAACACGGGACGGGGGGAGGGGCCUGUAAGAGAGUGGAGCGUAUUGGAGGGUGGGAAAGGGACAAUCAAUAUGGGAUGGGAUGACACUUGUGGAGCUUGUUAUCCAUUUUUCUUAUUUUUAGGACUUGUUUUCCAACAGAAAAUGUUUUUCAAAGAUUUUGACCAACCAAACAUUGGAAAAUUUGAAAAAACAUACUAAACACACCCUUAAUGGACAACAGAGAGUGUCUUAGUGUUUGUUAGUUAGACCGAUUGUAAUUAACUAGGAUCAAAGAUGGGAAAUUGGGUUGGGAGUAUUAAACAAAUUAUUGUAGAAUUCUUUUGAAACUUUGAUUCUUUCUUUUGGCCUUUGUUAUGUGUGGAAUAGAAUACUUGAAGCUGAAUCCCCUUGGAUACGUGCCCACGCUGGUUGAUGGAGAUGCAGUAAUUGCCGACUCUUUUGCUAUCAUAAUGGUAUGGUUACUUGUACUCUGCCAUUUGAGUGUGUAAAUUUUGUCAUUACUAUGUUGUUGGUGAUGAGAAGAUUUCUUGGGCAGUAUCUGGAAGAGAAGUAUCCCCUGCAAGCAUUGUUGCCGCAGGAUUGUCAGAAAAGAGCAAUCAACUAUCAGGUACAGAGGAAAAGUGGAUGAUGGUAUUUUUUUUCUUUUGCCAUCAAGAGCUUGAGUUCUUUAGUACUGAUUAGAAAAAACGAACUAAAGGUUUUUAGUACCGGGCCCUGAGGUCUUGAAUAUUUGAACUGCUGGAUCGAAAACUUUAUCUUGAGCCGAGGGUCUAUCGGAAACAACCUCUUUACUUUGUCAGAGGUAGCGGUAUUGGUAUGGACUGCGUACAUCUUACCCUCCCCAGACCCCACUUUGUGGGAAUACACUGGGUUUGUUGUUGUUGUUGUUGUUGAUCGAAAACUGAAUUUUAGUGUCCUCAUGCAGUGGAAUGAAAAUACUUGGUUAUCACCUGGAAGCUCUGCUGAAAUGCUUCCCUCCAUAUUGGAAAUGAACACGUUGCUUUUAAACCCAAUGUUGCUAAUUUGAUAUUAAAAGGAACUUAAGAAACCCGAUCGAUUCUUAUAAAAGAAAAUAAACCGUAGGAUGUUGAAUGAUUUAGCACAUCAUGCAAUUCUACUUGUUCUCAAUCUAUUUCCUGUUGAGGAUUCAAAGGAAACUGUGUGCGUCUUAGGUAUUAUCUUCUGAUGACUUAUAUAUACUGCUUCGUGUUGGAUAUUUUAGUAGUUCACUGUUUCAGCACUUAGAUGUGCGUUGAGUGACUAAUCUUACAUGGUUUCCUCUUCUCAAGUGUCCGUGAACUUAACUUUUUAGUAUUUCCAAGUCCAUCUUUUGUUGAGUCCAUGAGCAAAGUAGGAUAAUCCACUUAAGAAGAAAUAACAUGUAGCUAGCAAAAACUUUGGGCCUCUGCUCUCAUCUAUCUUGGAAUAUGGCCUUUAUUGCUACCACUUUCACUACUGCAUUGUUACCUCACACUAAAUAAGCUGCUGGAAAGUGACAAAUUUUAAUUCUUCUGAAUUCCUAUAUCCCUUUCUCUACCUUUACGCUGGUCUCCU
Molecule: long non-coding RNA, 2946 nt
Filed under: Capsicum annuum
Lineage: Eukaryota; Viridiplantae; Streptophyta; Magnoliopsida; Solanales; Solanaceae
Description: long non-coding RNA (CANN_LNC013108)
Source: RNAcentral